GAUGAACGCUGGCGGCGUGCCUAAUACAUGCAAGUCGAACGCACAGCGAAAGGUGCUUGCACCUUUCAAGUGAGUGGCGAACGGGUGAGUAACACGUGGACAACCUGCCUCAAGGCUGGGGAUAACAUUUGGAAACAGAUGCUAAUACCGAAUAAAACUUAGUGUCGCAUGACACAAAGUUAAAAGGCGCUUUGGCGUCACCUAGAGAUGGAUCCGCGGUGCAUUAGUUAGUUGGUGGGGUAAAGGCCUACCAAGACAAUGAUGCAUAGCCGGGGUGGGAGACUGAUCGGCCGCAUUGAGACUGGGACACGGCCCAAACUCAUACGGGAGGCUGCAGUAGGGAAUAUUCCUCAAUGGGCGAAAGCCUGAUGGAGCAACGCCGCGUGUGUGAUGAAGGCUUUCGGGUCGUAAAGCACUGUUGUAUGGGAAGAACAGCUAGAAUAGGGAAUGAUUUUAGUUUGACGGUACCAUACCAGAAAGGGACGGCUAAAUACGUGCCAGCAGCCGCGGUAA
Molecule: ribosomal RNA, 513 nt
Filed under: uncultured bacterium
Lineage: Bacteria
Description: partial 16S ribosomal RNA
Rfam family: Bacterial small subunit ribosomal RNA
Source: RNAcentral